Molecule: long non-coding RNA, 3534 nt
Filed under: Equus asinus (donkey)
Lineage: Eukaryota; Metazoa; Chordata; Mammalia; Perissodactyla; Equidae
Description: lncRNA (ENSEASG00005032480.1)
Source: RNAcentral
GGGGAUUUUUAUUAUAUUCAGAGGCUCAGAUGAUAAGGCACUUUACAUUUGAUUUUUAUAACUUUGUAAUAAGUGGCAAAAACAAAAAGAAAUGAGGACAUCAUGGGACAACAUCAUACUGGAAAAUAGAUUUAUUUUUUAUUAAACUCUGUUUUAAAGAUUUCUUAAACCUAAGAGCUACAACUCUGAAAGUUUUUCUGAGAAUAUAUUACUUUUAAAAGCUAUAUUUUAUGUUCUUUAUAUACUUGGAAGGCUAACGUAAGUUGCGUAAUCGAAAAUGAUAAUUACUUUGUAACUCUUUUUGUCCUUAUUAUUGUAUCUCAUGAAAAUUUAGGAUUGCAAUUAGCUCUUUAUUCAUUACCACGUCGCUUGUAAUGGUAAAAUGUGUGCAUAAUGUACAUCCCAUGGCACUUCUUUCUUCCCUGUGAAAUUCAGAUAGUAUUUUACUCUAGCAACAGAUCUUUUAGGCUUUGCAUAGAGACGGAGCUUACCUACACUUGUCUUCUGCCCCACAAGUGUUUUCAGUGGAUGAGGUCAAUAUUCAUAGAGCAGUGCUGGUCCCAAAGGCUGACGCCAGAAUCGUGGAAUAGGACCCCAUGUAUUCUUUCUGAGAUUUCUGUAACAGAGAUCUACUGAAAUGUUGUUAGAGAAAUACAAAAAUUAGACUAAUCAUCUCAGCAUCCCCGGGCAAUCAGUGGAUGUUAGAGUACUGAAUCGGUGGUCAGAACUGAGCUUGAGUUUCCAACUUCUUAUUUGCUGAAUUGUGAUAUUCAUUUAACAUCUUUGUGCCUCAUUUUCUUCAUAUUAAUAAAGUGAUAAAAACUCCUUUAUCCUCCUCAUAGGACUGUUAUGAGGCUGGAAGUAAGUCAAUACACAUGAAAAAACUUUACACCCUCAAGGAAUAUGCAAAUGUUAGUUUGUCACUAGAGGAAGGUGUUUUCUAUUAAUCAAAUAUAUUAAAAUUCAGAGUAAAAUAUAUAUAAAAAAAGCACAUUUAGGCCUUUAAAAACAUUGCUAUGUACAGUACAUGAAUUUCUCAGCAGAAAGAAGAAGAUGCCUAUAGGGUCUGCUUGAAAAAUCAUUUUAUUGAUUUUCAGACAAAUGAACUACAGAUCUUCCCUGACUUGCAGUGGGGUUACAUCCCAAUAAACGCAUUGAAAGUUGAAAAUAACAUAAGUCGAAAAUGCAUUUAAUACGUCUAACCUACUGAACAUCUUAGCUUAGCCUAGCCUACCUUAAAUGUGCUCAGAACACCUACGUUAGCCUACACUUGGGCAAAACAUCUUACACGAAGCCUAUUUUACAAUAAAGUGUUAAUACCUCAUGUAGUUUAUUUAUUUAUUUGUUUUUGAGUAAGGUUAUCCCUGAGCUAACAUCUGCCGCCAAUCCUCCUCUUUUUGCUGAGGAAGACUGGCCCUGAGCUAACAUCUGUGCCCAUCUUUCUCUGCUUUAUAUGUGGGACACCUGCCACAGCAUGGCCUGACAAGUGGUGUAAAGGUCUGCACCUGGGAUCCAAGCCUGUGAACCCUGGGCCACCGAAGCAGAACGUGUGAACUUAACUGCUGCGCCACCAGGCUGGCCCCAACCUCAUGUAAUUUAUUGAAUACUGUACUGAGAGGGAAACUCAGCAUGGUUGUCUGGGCACAGAGUGGCUGCAAGUGCGCUGGAUGUUUACCCUUGUGACAGAGUGGUGACCAUGAGCUGUGGCUCACUGCCAGUGCCCAGCAUCAUGAGAGCAUCAGGCCGCAUAUCAGCAGCCUUGGAAAAGAUCAACAUUCAAAAUUCCAAGUACAGUUUCUACAGAAUGCAUAUUUUUUUUUCACCACUGUAAAGUCGAAUGAUCGUUAAGUCAAACUAUUGUACAUCACAGACCGAGACCAUAUCUUAGUUGUCAAUAAUAAUAACAUACCGUUGGGGCCGCAGGUGGCACAACGGUUAGGUUUGCACAUUCCGCUUCUCAGCGGCCUGGGGUUCCCCGGUUUGGACCCCUGGUGGGGACAUGGCACUGCUUGGCAAAAGCCAUGUGGUAGACCUCCCACGUAUAAAGUAGAGGAAGAUGGGCACGGAUGUUAGCUCAGGGCCAGUCUUCCUCAGAAAAACGAGGAGGAUUGGCAGUAGUUAGCUCAGGGCUAAUCUUCCUCAAAGAAAAAAAUUAUGAUGUACUGUUAACGGUCCUUCACAUUUCCUUCCUGUCUUUCCAGCGCAUGUUUGUGUUAUUGAGAUCAUACUGUAGACGCCAUUUCAAUGUCAAAAGUUUUAAUUUUUUUCUGAUUGUGAGGGCAAUCUAUGCCUUUUGUAAAAACUCUGGAAAAGUUGUAGAAAACAGACAAUAGUCCAUAUCAGGAAAUGAAAACCACACACAAUUUACUACUGUAGUUAACCACUGCGAACACUCUGGUGUGUUUCCUUCCAGCACUCUCCUGCUUCUUCUGUGUGUACUUUGCACACGCGGCGGGGACCGCGCCCAGGCAGGACGGCGCUGGGAGCGGCAACCCCUGCUCUCGGCCCAGAGGACUGGAAGCUGCAAUCAGCACCUUCCUCCUGGACAGGGGUAGCGGGAGCGACUACUUUCCCUCCAGCCUCACUCAUUCCCGCAUUCUAAGCUCGUCUGUACACCGUUCUUCUCUUUUCCCAGCAUCUCCAAGGACACCCUGCAGUGUGGCAUGUCUGGGCGGCAUAUUUCAGCGAGUUCUCCUGGACGCUCUGGAAGCGCGUGCUCCUCUCUGCUGCCUUCACUGCAGCGGCCGAGACCCCCGCCCCCACUCGCCGUCUCCCGGUGACCAGGUGGCGGCAGGAGGCCGCCAGGGCUCGGGUUCAGAGGGACCCUCAGCCCGCAGGGCGGAGUCGGAGCCGUCGCUCCGCGUUGGGGUCGGGAGCGCGCCGGGCCCCGCUAGGAGGCUCCCUGUCCCUCCGGGGAUAGGCAGCGCCCAGGGGAGCCUCCGUGCCGGAGUCCCCUACUCGCGGGCGGCAGCUCGCAGAGGCAGCCCCUCCUCGCCCUCCGGGGGCGAGAAUCUUAGCGACCUCCAGGCGCCCCAGUCCUCACUUGCUGUCCUCCUCCAGAGGGUCUUGGCCCGUCGCGAGGAGGCUGCGAGGCCCCGAUCCUCCUCGCCUCGGGGGAUCCGGGCAGGCCCCCGCCACCGAACCCCAGCGGCCGGCCCGCUCCGCCCCGCUUUGCGAGGCGGCAGAAGUGCGUCCCUUCUCGCUUGCCUUAUGCGGGCGAGGCGGGGACGGCGCUACCGCGCGGCCUGCCGGAGGGGGGGCGCUCACGCCCGGGCCUCUGCUUUCCAGCCGGCGGCAGCGGCUCCCGGGCAAGGAGCGUGACGACGACCAGGGUCAGUGUCGUAUUGUCCCGGGAGCCCGCGCGGGAGGAGGAACCAGCGUCCGCUCGAGCUCGGCCGUGGACGCGCCCCUCACCUCGCCCUCGCUUCGCUGGGCCGCCCGGGGCUGCGUGGGCGCCGGCCGCCGCCGAGGCUCCCUGGCCUCUGACACCUCGUCCGGAGCCCCGGGGCCUCGAGUCCCGGCUCCGGGGGCGGG